RNAcentral lists this long non-coding RNA (1408 nucleotides) under Salvator merianae (Argentine black and white tegu). RNAcentral describes it as "lncRNA (ENSSMRG00000001486.1)". The record is from RNAcentral. Lineage: Eukaryota; Metazoa; Chordata; Lepidosauria; Squamata; Teiidae.
GGAGGAAGGCAUUGAUGCUUUCCCCAUAGACCCUACAGGCUUCUGGUUGGAGCCAUAAGGAAAUGAGAGGAAGAAUUAGCCUGUUUGUGUGACUGGGCUCCUGUAAAUAUUUUGAUACAUCUGCUGCCAGCUCCGGUCUAAGGGAAUCUACCUAGCAUUUAAAUUUUGAUGGGGAGCUGUUUUGAAUAAUAAGAGUGCAGCCGGCUGUGAGUCAGUGUGCAUGUGUGUUGACUGAAGGGAAGGGAGUGAAAGGGGGGGGGGGCUCAAAAGCUUUAACGUUUGCUGAACGGCGAGCUGCAGUGCUUCGCUUUUGCCUCCCUCCUCCUUUUUAGCUAGUAGAUAUUCCAAACAGAUUUNUGUGUGUGUGUGUGUGUACGCGCGCGCGCGCCUGUCUAUGUUCACUGGGAGGAGGGCGGAAUUAAAGAAAAAUAUAUAGCCCUUCACCCAGUAGCCGUUGCAAUGGGUGCUGUAAUGGGCACGUUUUCUUCUCUGCAAACCAAACAAAGAAGACCCUCGAGAGGUAUUAAUAUUUUAUAUUUGUGGAGAAACUCAUGCACUAAAGCCUGGUCUACAGAACAGAAUAUGUACGCAGCUUCAGUCUUGGGCUUUUUCUGUAGCAGUUCUACCAUAAAAAUAAACUCCUUUACAGUUGUGGAGAAGUUCAAGGACAGCUAUGAUGUGCUGUGAUCGCCCGGUCAGAUGUCCAAGGAAAAAGAAGCACAAGUUUGCCUGGCUUACUGAACUUCAGAUAACAACAUUUUUCAAUGAAAACACUAGUCUUUGUAACAUGAGAAGCUUCUGAUCCUACUCAGUCUAUUCACAGGAAAGCGGCCAACAAUCUUUCGCUGUAACUGAUGUUGUCUUCCUUAGUGCUUUAUAAAUAUUUGCCUGCUUUUAUUUGCUGUUUGGGAAGAGCCAUAGCUCAGUGGCAGAGUAUCUCCUUUGAAUGCAGAACAGCUGAGAUUUAAUUCCUGGUAUCCAUCCAGAAAAAAGGCAAUGACAAACCACUUCCAAAUUGUUGCNAAAGAAGUAUAAAUACCUGCAUAGAUUUCUCAUUUGACUGGGAGUCAAAUGCAGGGGUAUCCUUACCUUUUGUUACUAUCUGCUUUUAGGCAAUUUAUCUGAUCUGAUGUAUUAAAGUUUCUUGAAGCUCAGUGGCUUCCUUGAUUUUAGCUUUUCAGGGUGGACGUGCAUAAAGAGUAGAGUAGAAUGGCAUUUGCUUGUAAAACAGAUUGAAGUGCAUCUAGUUGCUUAGAGUGGGGAAGUUAUCAGAGACAGCUGUGUUAAUUGGCUGCCCAUUUCCAGAAUGAGAACUGCAAUUUGAACAUUAGUAAUCUCCAACUAACUGCAUCAGUGCAACUGGAUCGAAUUAAGGCAAUAAACUAGCAUUUCCGUGCUGGAAUCUACA